CCGGUCCCAGUUCGGAUUGUAGGCUGCAACUCGCCUACAUGAAGUCGGAGUUGCUAGUAAUCGCGGAUCAGAAUGCCGCGGUGAAUACGUUCCCGGGCCUUGUACACACCGCCCGUCAAGCCAUGGAAGCCGGGGGUGCCUGAAGUGCGCUGCCGCAAGGAGCGCCCUAGGGUAAAACCGGUNACUGGGGCUAAGUCGUAACAAGGUACC
This 210-nucleotide ribosomal RNA is filed under the name uncultured bacterium. Its description in RNAcentral is "partial 16S ribosomal RNA". It matches the Rfam family "Bacterial small subunit ribosomal RNA", at positions 1282 to 1500 of the family's 1533-position model. The record is from RNAcentral.